Frieseomelitta varia is the source of this 2687-nucleotide RNA transcript. It is a transcript of the gene named sodium/hydrogen exchanger 7, with no coding region annotated. Lineage: Eukaryota; Metazoa; Arthropoda; Insecta; Hymenoptera; Apidae. The transcript is spliced from 14 exons. The record is from RefSeq and is a predicted model, not a curated record.
AUGGCAGUGAGAGGUGAUACACGAAUUCUCCUUCUCGUAAUUUUAUGUAUUUUCUUGUUAAAAUCGUGUAAUGGGGCCGCGACAGAUAUUGAAUUAGACGCGAAGGCACAGCUAUUGCACAGGCUCGAUAGUUUGAACCUUUUACUAUACACAUUUUUAUUGAUAUUAACUGUUUUAACAAUAUGGACUUUUAAGCAUCGUCGACUUAGGUUCCUCCAUGAAACUGGGCUAGCUGUCAUUUAUGGAUUAAUUAUAGGAGCAAUAAUUCGUUAUGGCUUUACAACAAGUAGUACCAUUCUUCAUAUGCCCGUUGUGCCAGAUGCCAGCAGUAAAUAUAAUCAAUCAGUUCCUCCAGAUACAUUAUGGUUGCGUUUUCCAGAAGACAAAGGAGGUGGUGUUAUUAAAAAUAAGACAUUUGCCUAUUCAUUUAGAGGAGAAAUUUAUAAGCAAGAUAAUGAGAUAGAUUUGAAGGCAACCUUUGAUCCAGAAAUAUUUUUUAAUAUUAUUUUACCACCGAUCAUUUUCCAUGCUGGAUAUAGUUUAAAACGUAAAUACUUUUUUAGAAACUUAGGAGCAAUUCUUAUGUAUGCUUUAAUUGGAACAUCUAUAUCAGCUUUCGUUAUUGGAGCUUUGAUGUAUGCCUUUGUACAGUUAAUACCACAUCUUUCUGCUUCAUUUACAUUUUUGGAUACUUUGUAUUUUGGUGCAUUAAUAUCUCCUACGGAUCCACUGACAAUAAUUUCUAUUUUUAAUGAUUUACAUGUAGAUGUAAAUUUAUAUGCUUUAGUAUUUGGAGAAAGUGUAUUAAAUGAUGCAGUUGCAAUUGUACUUAGUGGUUCUAUACAAAAUUAUGGAGAACGUUAUCAAUCAGGUUCAGGUGGAUUUGAAACUGUAGCAUUUUUCCAAGCAUUUGGUGAUUUUGUUGGAAUAUUUAGUUUAUCUUUAUUUAUUGGUGCUACUAUGGGAUGUAUCACUGCUUUGUUAACUAAAUUUACUAGAGUUCGAGAUUUUCCCCUUUUGGAAUCAGCAUUGUUUGUUUUAAUGUCUUAUAGUACAUUUUUAAUUGCUGAAGCAUCUGAUCUUACAGGUGUAGUCGCUGUUUUAUUCUGUGGUAUUUGUCAAGCACAUUACACAUAUAAUAAUUUAAGUCCGGAUUCGCGUCAACGAACAAAACAAUUGUUUGAACUUUUAAAUUUUUUAGCUGAAAACUUCAUAUUCAGCUAUAUUGGUGUUUCAAUGUUUACUUUUCCGAAGCACCAUUUUGAUCCAGGAUUUAUUUUUGCAGGAUUUCUCUGUGCGUUAUUAGGUCGCGCAGCCAAUGUAUAUCCAUUAUCCUUUAUAUUGAAUUUAGCGCGAAAACCAAAGAUAUCGUUAAAUUAUCAGCACAUGUUAUUUUUUGCUGGGUUACGCGGAGCUAUGAGUUUUGCUCUAGCCAUCAGAAAUACUGUAUCUGAUGCUCGGCAGGCUAUGUUAACAACGACGAGUUUAAUUGUAAUUCUGACGGUCAUUUUCCAGGGUGGUGCAACAACUCAGUUUUUAAGCUGGUUUAAUAUACCAGUUGGAGUAGAUGAAGAAAUAGAAGGACUAUCACACAAUGGAAUGCGUAGUUCUGGUGGCGAAGGUGGCUUUGGAGAUCUGGACAUACGUAGGGAGCGAAGUCCGCCGUAUAAUUCUAUGCAGGAUGGAUCAUUACCAGGCAGUGGCAUAAAACCUAAUGAAAAAGCAUUACUUGCUAGAAUCUGGGGUGAUUUUGAUACUCGCUACAUGAAACCAUUCUUAACUCACUCCAGGCCUACAUUGCUGGAAACAUUACCAGUUUGUUGCACACCUCUAGCCAGGAUCCUUACAACAACACAACAAAUGACACAGGAUGAAGCUGUUAGAAAAGCAGAUUCAGAUUCAGACUUUUGUCUUGAAGAUCGCGAACUGGAGCGACGAAGGACUAGUAUUCAACCGACACAUGUAAGGAGCUCUCCAAACAGAACACAUUUAUAAGAAUAAAUCUAAUAUGAUUUAUUGAGUUGUGUACAUUUUUGGGGGCAUUUGGCUGCAAUUGAUUUAAGUAAUAUUUUCUUUCUUGUCAAAUAUGCCAGAAAUAUAAUAUUUAACAUUAAUAUGUUAUUUCAUACAGAUUCUAAUUCAGUAUGUUUAAUUUUUAACAUUCUCUAAUUUUGUUACCAGAUAAAUUUUAAUUUCUUCAAAUGAUACAAAACAUAUGUAUAUGCUUUCUGAUACAUUGUAAUCAACAUCUCAGAUAGUAUUUAGUGAGGAAAGUAUGACAUAGGUAUGUGCGUAUGCAAUGUUGGUGUCAAGUAUUACCUAUUAUUGUUGUACUAUAGUUUCUAUAAAUGUUGAUUAUAUUUUCCUGAUAUUUAUUUUCUUUGGAAAGUAUUAUCCAAUAUUUCGGAUAACAAAAGACAUUGACAACAAAAAAUUAAAUCUGGGAACUGUGAUGGGAGAAGUUAGUCCGGGACCACUACCAUUGCACACACGCGUCGCCUUGCCAGGUUUGGUCGGCAAACAUUUAUAGAGACUAAUUGAUAUUGGUAAAUAAAUUUAUCUUUUUAUGUGUAAUAUUAAAUGUGCAACUGAUAAAUGUAUUUAUUCGAAAAGCUUAAAAAAUCUAUGUAAACUAUUAGUAUUAUAUCUAAUACUAUCCAUUAUAAAUAGAAUUUGGAAGAUGUUUC